Molecule: RNA transcript, 6298 nt
Organism: Triticum dicoccoides
Lineage: Eukaryota; Viridiplantae; Streptophyta; Magnoliopsida; Poales; Poaceae
Exons: 4
Source: RefSeq, a predicted model, not a curated record
CUCCCCGAUCCCAACCUCCCCGAUCCAGCGCCUCCCCCUGGGGCAACCGCUGCCGCCCCUGGCUCGGCCGCCGCCGCCCAACCCCGCACCCCGUCUCCACCGGCCAACCCCGCCGCCCAACCCAGCGCCCCGCCUCCACCGGCCAACCCCGCGCGCCGCCGCCCCCGCAAACCCUGGGCGCCUCUACCUCCUACUGGAUCCCACCGGCGGAGCUAGCCGCGGCAGCCCCGGCAGUCCUCCGCUCGCCGCCGCCCUGGAGAUGAGCACGACACCGCCACCCCGAGGAACCUCCGAAAGCUGCGCAGCGACGUUGCUCCCCUGCCCAGUGCCCACCGCCUUUUCCUCCAUGCAUGCCAUCCUUCCUCGCCGGAGCCGAUGCGGGCCGCGGCCUCACCACGCCGCCCGGGAUCCCACACACGCGCCGUCCUGGCCGACCACAUUGACCUUCUCACAAGGGCAACCUUGACCUUCUCGAGGAAGGUUCAUCCAUGGAGCAGCCGCUCCCACCCCUCCACACCCGGGUCGUGCCUGGCUCGCCGCACACCUUUGCCCGUUGUCACCAGUACGCUGCGACCGCAUGGCUGACGGGGCUAUCGCCUGUGCAUCACGUCCGGGCUGGUAGUGGAGAUCGUGGACUAGGGCGCGAAUUGGAGCAGGGCGAGCACCGUCAACCACCUCGAUCCCCAUGUACAACAUCGUGGUGGCAGUUCUAGUUCUUCUACUCCCGUUCUUCUACUACAGCAAGACGCACACCUUCGCGAUGCACAUCCGUCGCGGCGACUCACUGUCCAGCAACAGGUCGCCAAGGUGUGUAUUGCGCUGCUCAUUCAAUAAAUCGUGAUGUGCAGUGCCGCUGGGUACGUCAUGCCUCUUCCUUGCCUGCUCACUGUCCCCCAUGCUGGAGCCAGCGGCUCCUUGUCCUAUCUCUCAACUAGAGCAGAAUCUAUACACAAGUAUCCUGAAUCAUAUAGUGGUUGAUUGAUUUUCCGUGGCGUGUUGGUGAUGUUCAGAGUUUUGAAGGAAUAAUUGGAAAAAAAUCCUCCAAUUUUUCUGUUUUUCACUUGUUCUGAUUUGUUGCUCUGUACAUGUUUUGGUGAUAUUCCUACAAGCACUAGCUAUUUCUUCAGGACUAAGGUGUACGAGGACUCAAGUAAUUUAUAUUUUGGGAUGGUUGGAGGCGACGCCCCAAGGAACACAAGGGAGGGCAGAGUGCAUAUGGAACUUGGAGGAAUACAUACGGCUACCGGCAGUAACGCAGGCAAGUUAUAUAUAUAUAUAUACUGAUUCAAUAUGAACAACUGGACGGGCAUGGUAUACCUGAGGGCAUGUACAAUGAUGACAUAUGGAUACAUAUGCCCUAUGAGAAAAAAUAAUUUGAGGCAUCUACAUUAACUUUUUUCCUCCAAUGCAAGCUAUCACUAGUGGGCCUCAUUAAGAAAUAGAAAAUAAAGAGUCUAGUACACAUGCAUCUCUACUUUUCACUCAACCUUUUCAGUUUUUGACACCGGACCACACUUUUUCUGUUUAACCACCCGCCUCUUGAAGAGGAUCCCGCUUCCCUAUCCGAACCUACUUUACGUUAUAUCCGAUCUUACAUGGCAUGCGAGGCAUCAUCUUAAAGCUAUACAUUGUACAUGCCCUGAAUGAGAAAUUAUACAUAUCGGGAGAGCUAAUUUAAUUAGGGACCAUGCUCUUUGUACGAGUUUUCAUGGUAACUUGUAGCCGUCGCUUCACAACCUCGGUAGCUGUUAAAAAGAAUUUGGCUCAACUGUUUCUCCUGUGCAAAAUAUUGAUGGCUUUUACUUGAGAUUAUUUAUGUACAAAUGGCAUGCAAUUAACAUAUAGAGGCAGGGAGGUGCCCAACUGCUCUGGUUUCUUCAGUCUCCCGGUAUACAGUCUUGUCGUUUCGACACAUGUUGUUAGCACGCAAGUAGUAGUAGUAUGCGAGCACCCAGUUGUUCCUCCUAACAGGGAUGGAUGGAUGGGCUGCGAUGUACAGAGCAAAAUUAGUAAGAACUAUGGUCAAGACAAGCUUCAGUGCCCCAACAGUAAGCGCGAUGCUUGAAAAAGUAAAGUCUCAAGUGUGGAUUGUCCAGCUCAUAUAUUUACGGAUGCACAUAACUUGCCACAUAACUCUUGCAAAUGACGGGGCACUAAAAACAAGUCAUUAAUCAGUAGCGGCUGGCAUCUCAUAAGUACGAAUAUUACAGAGGAAAUUGUGUAUUUUAUGUCUUCAUCAUGCAUCCUAACUCUAUAGUUCAACAAGCUCAGGAGAACAUUUUGAGCCAUGUUCAGUUAGCCGCUAGCAUGGUAAUAAAACCAGUUGUGCAUUUAGUUGUCAGUGCUAGAAAAUGGGGCACACAAUAUUAAAGGUGCAAAAGAUCCUGGCUUCAUGUAAUUGAACGCAGGCAAUCAACUAAAAACUAGAAAGUUCGUAAUGAAGUUCAACGACUUCCACCUAGAAAGUUGUUUGUUAGAAUUGUCAAUCAACUAAAAAAGUUGUUUGUUAGUCGUUGGCAACUAAUUGAACGUAGGCAAUCAACUUCAUGUUAUCUAAGUAUUUUUAGUACUUGCUAUUGCAGAUAAGUGUUUGUUAGAAUUGUCAUUCUGUCAGUAAAGUACCAUUCUUCGGUGUAUGUUCUGAAAAUUUCAUCUUUUGUGUGCCUGGUGUGAAUCGUUGGUCUUCUCUCACUUUUGCUCUUGAAUUAGAGGUAGCAUGUUGAUUUUCACACUUGAUGAAAAACAUAUCCUAAAAUGUGAAAAUUUUUGUUCCCCAAUGAAUAAUUUAUUGUUCAUAAAGAUCUAUUUUCUUCCAGAGUGAUGAAUUUUUGCUCCUAAACAAAGAACUUUAUGUUCCUAAAUGAGGAGGUAGUAUAGGGAACUACAUGUACGUGUUUUUCCGAAAACUUUCUUAAACCAUUUUUGAUGAAGUACAGGGAACUUCAUGUACGUGUUACUCCCAAAACGAUAUGAAACUUUGUGUGUACAAAUUUUUAAUAUACCAUAUUGAUUGAGAACUAACAAUGGCAUCCUUUUUUAAUAAUCUAGAAGUUCAACGACUUCCACCUAGAAAGUUCAAAAGACAUUGUGUUUUAGGGAGAACGCAUCCUGCCUAGAAGAUGCAUAUGGAAUAAAAUGUAAAUUCGCAAUGAAGUUCAUAUAUAAAAAAGUUGAAGUUCGCAUACAGAAAAAAGGUGCAUUUUUGAAAAACAAGGUACAUGUUUUCUAGUUCCAGAUGCUUAUAUGAUCGUCCUAUGACACUGAAAUCUUUUUCAUUUUAGGUGAGCCAAAUUUUUGUGUGGAUGUGUUGUGCAUGUGCUUGUGCGUAGUACACUGAAUAGAACAAAAGAAAACUAUUAUGAGUACCCUCUAAAUGUUUGUCCUAUUGCUUAUGAUAAUUAACCCAAAUUUCCCUAUUGUUUUUGCACAUGUUGGAUUCAGGGGAAAAUGUGUAUAAAAAGGUGUGAUUUCAAAAGUUCAGCUGUAACGAACAUCGAAGUUCAAACCAAAAAAUGUAAACAGAAAAAAUCCUGGAAUUCAAAGAAUAAAAACUAUGGAGUCUCAUGAAAAAACAUUAAUAUCACGCGAAGUUCAUGUUUCAGAAAUUUCGAAGUUCACGUGUACCACGUACAAAAGAAAAAUGAUCAAAUGAAAAAAUUGACCGCCUAGGCCAUUUCAUCGAAAAGCAAAAAAAGCAUAAAAUGUCACGACAAAAUUCUAUAAGAGGUUCAAAUUUAAAAACUGAAGCAGGUCAACUUUAAAAAAAUGAAGUUUUUAAUAUCUAAAAGACAAAUUUGGAAGUUCAAAAAAUUUGAGCAAGAAGUUAAAAAAAGUAGUUCAAAAAUCUUUAUAAUGGAUUUUCCCCAUUUGUAAAAAAAUCAGAGAAGUUCAAAUUAAAAAGAGGAGCAUUUCAAAAAGAUUGUAUAAAAACUGAUUUCCCCCAUGUAUUAUAUAAUUAAGACAGAAGUCAAACAAGCCAUCACGCUAAUCCACAUAGGCUAAUUAAUCAACACCAUUAAUAUUAGAUAACAACAGCUGGGAUUUAAAAGACACAAAGUUACGUAUAACUUUUGUGAGGUACAAAUAAUAAUAGACAUGUCACGCCUGCAUAUAUCUUUUCAUCAAAAGACCUCCGAGAGAACCACAAAGAAGUAAGACACCAAGACACAAUUAACCAUAUAUAAAAUGCCACGUGCACCCAGAUCAACCAAAAGAACUCUAGACGUGUUGAGCAUGGACUCAACGUGCACCCGCUUCCAAAUCUCCAACGCAACCAAAAGAAGUCCAGACAUGUUGAACAUGGACUCAACAAAAAAUACUCCAAAAGUAUUUGGCCAGCUCAAGCACGCAUAAAAAGACCACCCGGACACCACCAGCACACACGUACUCUGCCAAGACAUGCAUACAUAAAAAUACAAAAAUACACCCAGCCGGACACAUCUCAAAAUCGAAGCCAGCCCAAUCUUCUCCUUGACCAAUCAAAGUCUACUGAUUCUACGACACAACAGAAUCGGUGAAAACUGCAACAUGCUAGACAUCUCGUUGCUUGACGGACAACCACCCUUUUGAGUUGCCUCUCACCUCAAUCAUAAAGGUGCAUAGUCACUAUUCUGCAUACAAUCUUCAUAGGUAAUUAUUAAUUGGUUAACAAUUUCCUGAUCUUCUUACAACAAAACCACUAUGGCAUACAAAAAGCUUAGCUACUUAAUAACAGGAAGAGAAAAUCCUAUAGCCAAUGAGCUUAUGAGCCUCGAUAUGAUCUUCAUAUAUGAGAAGGUUAAUUCUUUGCAUAUUUAAUUGUAGAUUGUUCUAUUAAAACAACAAUUAACAAGUAUUUUUUUACAUGGUCAAACAAUUCAUGCUACUAUCUGGAAGAAUUUGAUAGACACAAAUAGAUUAAAGAUAAAUAAGAAAUCUAUUUUUGCAUAUAAGAACUUAGAAGUUGUGGAAUCGAUGAAGUAUCACGGAGUGAGCAGUAAAAAAUUUAAUUGGACAUCCACCAUUUCGGUUAGCAUUAACCUUUUCUGCAUGUACUCUUUAGGGAUGAUAAAAUCAGAGUUAUGCUAUGGGAAGUUCACAUAUAAUUAAAAAGGAUGUGAUCAGUAACAAAAUUGUCCUUAUUGUACCCUCAAUAGUAGUGCAGAAGUUCAAAGUUCUACGACAGGAACACUAUGGCCUACAGGAAGCUUACAUACUUUAUAACAAGAGGACAAAACUUGAGCAUUCAAUUGAAAGUAAUGAGAAUGUGAUAAUCAAUCUUACAAACAAUGAGCUUAUGAUCCUUGGUAUGAUCUUGAUGGAUGAAAAGGGCCAAGCAAUUCAUUCUACCAUGUGGAAGAAUUAGAUCAAACAAGAAAGAACUCGCAACCUUCAUAUUUCAGCCAGAUUGAAAUUCUAAUGCAAACCCAUUCCUAAAUUCGGACUUCUAACACCGCGUUUAACAUUACCAUCUUAUGCCCUUAAGGGGUCAUAAAAUUAGAGUUACUAUUAUGGGGAAAGCGUGCUUAUUUUAUGAAUGAGGAUGUAAUCGACAACCAAAGUGUUGUUAUUGUGACGUCAAUAGUCGUUCAAAAGUUAAACGGCAAGUCCAAUAAUGCCACAAGCUCAUUUUUUUCACAAUAAAAAAAACUCUAAUAGAUUUCUCACAUCAAAUAGGGUGGUGCCUAAAGUCAACCAGUGCCACACGAAUAUAUACAGAUCCAUAUGUACAUUAAACUCGGGAAGUUCUUCACAGGUGUGGAACGUUAUCUAUUACGUAUUAUUUAUCAACUAAUGAAUCAUAACUCAUGUCUAUUCAUGAAAUAAUUAUUAUACUUCUCACUCCAUAUGUGCAGGCACUCAACACAAGAAAUUUUACCAAAAAUGAUUGAGAUAGAUACAAGUAUGGAUGGAGCACUACAAAAAAUUUACAUUAAAAGAACUUACUAGAAUGAGGUGCGGAAGGUAGACAAAUCAGGUAAUGCAUGAGACUUCUUUAUGAUAUCACCGCUUUUGAAGGAAAACAAGACUACUAUAAGACCUACAAAGACGAUCGAGACAUAUUAGUUAUAAUACAACCACAUUUGAGUUAUUUAUGUCUCUCAAUUUAUUCAGAAUCCUUUAAAGAUUUUGUGUUCUCUUUUUAGGAUUUUGUGGUCACAUCAAUAGCUGCAAUAGAGAUGUUAUGAGAAAUAUCAAGUGAUGGUAUAUGUCGUCUGAUGAUAAGGAAACUGACAAGUACAAUGGUACAUAUCCAGAAAUUGUAACACCUCCGUGUUCAUAUUAUACUAAUUUGAACAUGAUCGUUCCUAUUAUCCUA